This 451-nucleotide ribosomal RNA is filed under the name uncultured organism. Its description in RNAcentral is "partial 16S ribosomal RNA". It matches the Rfam family "Bacterial small subunit ribosomal RNA", at positions 334 to 801 of the family's 1533-position model. The record is from RNAcentral.
CACUCCUACGGGAGGCAGCAGUGGGGAAUAUUGGACAAUGGGCGCAAGCCUGAUCCAGCCAUGCCGCGUGAGUGAUGAAGGCCCUAGGGUUGUAAAGCUCUUUCACCGGUGAAGAUAAUGACGGUAACCGGAGAAGAAGCCCCGGCUAACUUCGUGCCAGCAGCCGCGGUAAUACGAAGGGGGCUAGCGUUGUUCGGAUUUACUGGGCGUAAAGCGCACGUAGGCGGACUAUUAAGUCAGGGGUGAAAUCCCGGGGCUCAACCCCGGAACUGCCUUUGAUACUGGUAGUCUUGAGUUCGAGAGAGGUGAGUGGAAUUCCGAGUGUAGAGGUGAAAUUCGUAGAUAUUCGGAGGAACACCAGUGGCGAAGGCGGCUCACUGGCUCGAUACUGACGCUGAGGUGCGAAAGCGUGGGGAGCAAACAGGAUUAGAUACCCGUGUAGUCCCAUGAU